Molecule: non-coding RNA, 631 nt
Organism: Paramuricea clavata
Lineage: Eukaryota; Metazoa; Cnidaria; Anthozoa; Malacalcyonacea; Plexauridae
Source: the annotation of a GenBank genome assembly
GUGUCAGAUGGUUGUCAGAUGGUGUAUGAUGGUCGAAGUGUGUCAGAUGGUUGUCAGAUGGUGUAUGAUGGUCUAGGGUGGUUAUACAGGGAAGAGUUGUCAGAUGGUGAAGAUGGUACAGAUGGUGUAUGAUGGUCGAAGUGUGUCGGAUGGUUGUCAGUUGGUGUAUGAUGGUCGAAAUGUGUCAGAUGGUUGUCAGAUGGUGUAUGGUGGUGUAUGAUGGUCGAAGUGUGUCAGAUGGUUGUCAGAUGGUGUAUGAUGGUGUAGGGUGGUUAUACAGGGAAGGGUUGUCAGAUGGUGAAGAUGGUACAGAUGGUGUAUGAUGGUCGAAAUGUGUCGGAUGGUUGUCAGAUGGUGUAUGAUGGUCGAAGUGUGUCAGAUGGUUGUCAGAUGGUGUAUGAUGGUGUAGGGUGUUUAUACAGGGAAGAGCUGUCAGAUGGUGAAGAUGGUACAGAUGGUGUAUGAUGGUCGCGGGUUGUCAUUCGGUGUACGAUGCUUAUAUUAGAUAUUACAUUGGUAUAUUUUAUUAUUACUUACAUACACUUUAGCCAACUAUUGUAUGUGUAUAAAAAUAUAAUGUUAUAUCUAACAUUGCGGUUCUCGUGUGGGAAACGUAAUUCAAAGUAUUUGG